CUCUAACUCUCUCGGCUCUCCCUUUCUCCCGUGAAACAAACCACCAUCAUCACCAAAAAUUUCAGCUUGUUGAGCAUCAAAACUGCCAUUAUCUGCAUGGCUUCACCACCAUAAACCCAGUUUUGAGUUUUGUUUCAUUGAAAACGAAUCCUAACCUCGAGUUCGAAGAACAAGGUUUUGGGCUGGGACUUCUAGGCGUGAUUCAGACAAUUCUUAGCCAUCUUUUGAACUCAAAAUAGGGAUAGAUCGAUUCCUCAUGUUGUGUAGAUGAAUUUUCAUGUUUGGAUCGUGUGAUUUGGUGGAGAAAUGAGAAAGUUAUAAUGAUUUAAAGUUUGCCCAGUUUCCGGCGACCUCAGCCACUUUCGAGGUGUUUUCCGACCAAAUCACGGUGAGAUAGCCAUCUUUCAAGGGACCAAUCUCUUCCUCUCAUCAAGAACUAUGAUUUCCGUUUUUGAAUCACUUGAUUUCGUUGAGUGUUGACAAAGUUAUGGACGUUGAAAGAUUGCCCAGAAAUUCUGGCAAAUUUCCCUGUUUUCCCGCGGACAGCCGUCUUUCAGCCCAUUUUCUGGCCAUCUCCAGCGACCAUUUGGACUCCAAGGCAGGCAACGAUCGUUCGAGACAUCUUGAUAUUCGUGCCAGGGAGUUGUAGCGCGAACUGCAUGUUUUAGCUGCUAAAAGUUCGUAUCGACGAGGAUUCUUGACGAAUCUCAGUAUAAGUGGCUACCUCUAAGGGUGUCGGCCAGCACAGCUCGAUUAGGAAUCCUAGUGGACGUUCGGGGUUGGGGUGUGUUAGCUCUAUCAUGAGCACUCAACUUGUGUCCAAAAGGUACUGGAGUUGAAAUAAGCUUCACAUCAGUAAACUUGGUUUUCUUCAGCAAAUCAAGAGCAUAUUUUGAUUGAUUUAGAUGCAUAUGAUUCUUAACAUAAGUAACUUAAAAUCCCCAAAAAUAAUGUAGGGGCCCCAAAUUCUUCAUAGAAAACAAGGUGCCAAGCUUCGUUAUUAAAUUCUUCAUUUGAACUGGACUGUUUCCCGUUAUCAAUAUAUCGUCCACAUAGAUUAAUAAAAUCAAGUAAACUCCACGAUGAUUAAACACAAAUAAAGAAUAAUCACAUCUUGACUCUUGGAACCCUAAUUGCAGCAAAAAAUCUGAAAACUGUUGAAACCAAGCACGAGGUGCUUGUUUCAAACCAUAUAAACUCCUCUGCAACGUCCAUAAAUGAUUGGGAAAUUGUUUAUCAAUAAAACCCGCUGGCUGCCUCAUGUAAACAUCCUCUGCAAGAUAACCAUGCAAAAAUGCAUUCUGAACAUCCAGUUGACGGACGAACCACUUAUUCGAAAUUGCAAGACUGAGAACCAACCGAAUGGUACUAUGUUUGACAACUGGACUGAACGUUUCAUUGUAGUCAAUCCCUUGUUAUUGGUGAAAACCAUUAGCUACUAACCUUGCCUUAUGAUGUUCAAUUGAGCCAUCAACACGUUAUUUGAUCUUAUAAACCCAUUUAUUAGUAAGCAAGUUCAUGGAAGAAUGAUAAGGUACCAACCUCCAGGUUCCACAUCUCCAUAAGGCAUUGAACUCUCUCACCACUGCAUCCCUCCAUUUCUGAUGUUUCACUGCUUGACUAAAACAAGUAGGUUCAAGCAUUUUUUUAUUAGUAGUCACAUGCAAUGCAUACUUAAAUUUGGGUUCUUGGACACCGGCUUUGCUACGAGUUGUCAUGGGAUGCAUUGGAGUUUGUGCAACAAUGGAAUUGGUUGAUGCACUCACUGGUUCAUUUUGUUGGAUGGACGACACUACUUUUUGCUCAUUCAGGGAUUCUAGAGGUGGUCUAUUGUUCGUAGGAUUGGAAGGCACUACUGCAGGUUGUCCUAGGAUUUCAUAUACAAUAGGUUUUGGUUGUGGAACUAUGGGAUUUGGCAUGGGCUCAAUGGGGUUAAUGAUCUUAGUGGAAGCAGGUUGAGAAGAUAGGAAACUAAAAAACAAAUCAUGUGAAGAAUUCAUACUUGUUUUAUUGACGCAACCCUCGAUAGGUGUGAGUUCCUGGAAAGGAAAAGAGUCCUCAUCGAAUAGGACAUGGCGAAACAAAUAAACUUGUCUCUUCAAUAAAUCCAAGCAUUUAUGUCCUUGAUGGUUAAGUGAAUAUCCUAAAAACACAAAAGACUUUGAUUUGGACUCAAGUUUAUUAUUAGUAUACGGUCUCAACCAUGGAAAACAACGACUG
Malus domestica (apple) is the source of this 2220-nucleotide non-coding RNA. NCBI's taxonomy places the organism in Eukaryota, Viridiplantae, Streptophyta, Magnoliopsida, Rosales, Rosaceae. The record is from RefSeq and is a predicted model, not a curated record.